Molecule: transfer RNA, 90 nt
Filed under: Phenylobacterium hankyongense
Lineage: Bacteria; Pseudomonadati; Pseudomonadota; Alphaproteobacteria; Caulobacterales; Caulobacteraceae
Also listed under: 8 other names
Description: tRNA-Ser
Rfam family: tRNA
About the family: Transfer RNA (tRNA) molecules are approximately 80 nucleotides in length. Their secondary structure includes four short double-helical elements and three loops (D, anti-codon, and T loops).
Source: RNAcentral
GGACGGGUGGCCGAGUGGUUUAAGGCAGCGGUCUUGAAAACCGCCGUGGGUGAAAGCCCACCGUGGGUUCGAAUCCCACCCCGUCCGCCA